GAUGAACGCUGGCGGCGUGCCUAAUACAUGCAAGUCGAGCGAACAGACGAGGAGCUUGCUCCUCUGACGUUAGCGGCGGACGGGUGAGUAACACGUGGAUAACCUACCUAUAAGGCUGGGAUAACUUCGGGAAACCGGAGCUAAUACCGGAUAAUAUAUUGAACCGCAUGGUUCAAUAGUGAAAGACGGUUUUGCUGUCACUUAUAGAUGGAUCCGCGCCGCAUUAGCUAGUUGGUAAGGUAACGGCUUACCAAGGCGACGAUGCGUAGCCGACCUGAGAGGGUGAUCGGCCACACUGGAACUGAGACACGGUCCAGACUCCUACGGGAGGCAGCAGUAGGGAAUCUGCCGCAAUGGGCGAAAGCCUGACGGAGCAACGCCGCGUGAGUGAUGAAGGUCUUCGGAUCGUAAAACUCUGUUAUUAGGGAAGAACAAAUGCGUAAGUAACUAUGCACGUCUUGACGGUACCUAAUCAGAAAGCCACGGCUAACUACGUG
RNAcentral lists this ribosomal RNA (497 nucleotides) under uncultured bacterium. Its description in RNAcentral is "partial 16S ribosomal RNA". It matches the Rfam family "Bacterial small subunit ribosomal RNA", at positions 28 to 507 of the family's 1533-position model. The record is from RNAcentral.